GCGAUGACAACGGCGCAAAUUUAGUGAUGUGUGAUGGCACGCAUGCGACGAGCUGACCAACAAAGCCGCAAUGGGAGCUCAAUGGCAAAAGGUUGAGAGGUACUAUGUUAAUCCUCACCAAGGUCUUCAAGAUCUCUCUCAGUCCUCUUUUCUCUAUCCAGAACCAUAGUCUCUCUCCUCUAGCACUCGUUCCCUGGUGAAGAUGGACUAACACCUGCGGGGGCACGACCUUUUCCCCCUCUCUCCUCCACGUUGG
This 256-nucleotide long non-coding RNA is filed under the name Oryza brachyantha (malo sina). RNAcentral describes it as "long non-coding RNA (OBRA_LNC002297)". The record is from RNAcentral. Lineage: Eukaryota; Viridiplantae; Streptophyta; Magnoliopsida; Poales; Poaceae.